Pavo cristatus (Indian peafowl) is the source of this 934-nucleotide long non-coding RNA. NCBI's taxonomy places the organism in Eukaryota, Metazoa, Chordata, Aves, Galliformes, Phasianidae. The record is from Ensembl.
CAAAGAUCCAAACUACUAAAACAAGCUUUGCCUUCAAUUAAUUCGUUUCCUGUCUACAAGACUGUCAUGUUUUUCCAUCCAUUUAGCUGCUGGAAAGCCCAUGGAGUCCCUGCUGCUGCUCAUGGGGAGCUGGCCAGCCUUUCCCUUGCAGUAAGACAGCUUCUGGGAAGGCUUUAAGGCGAGGUGAUUCAGCAGGCAUGAAGCAACAAGCUCCCCUUCCUGUUUUCCUCCAGAGUGCAGCAAAGGGUGUUAGAAAGGAUGCUGGGGUGCCUGCAGCAGAGCUGGCUUCAUCAGCACUGGUAAAUCUGACAGCAAAACGGUGAUGUCUGCAACCAGCCCAGCAACAGCGCGACAACAAACACAGCUUCAAGUGCCUUGAAGUGUCAUCCUGAGGCUGCACUGCUGUCUUCCGUGUCAGCGUUGGUUCAGUGCCUGUAGGAAACAUCUCAAACGGGUGUGGGAAAUGAUCUGGUCUGCUGGCUCCAGCUGGGCUGUCUGGCACUCGAGGCAACCUUGACUUCACCUCACCAUGGGUCGCAGAUUCGUGGUGACUGCAGGGAUUUCACUAUGCGACCAGUUUGCUUUGUUGGCUUCUUUUCCUCCUCCUUUUCUUUCUUUGUGUUGCCUCUGUCAGGCUAACAGCAUCGACCUGGGAGGGACUGGCGAUCAGCAAGACAGAUCUGCUUUGGAAAUGGAGGUUUGGGAGCGUGUGCUGGAAUGGCAGUGCUGCUCCACAGCUCGUCUUGUCUCCUUACUGCAAGGAGGGGGAGGUGGGCUCAUUCCCAAUGCUGCACAUCGCCUGUGCCACGCUCUGCUUUUUGGGAUAACCCCGGAUACUGACAGCCUGCCCACAUCCUCGCUCUGGGGAGAGGAGAGCCAUGGGGAGUGGAAUGAGCAAGGUGGUCGCAGGGCUCUACCUGGGGAACAUCCGUGA